This 474-nucleotide ribosomal RNA is filed under the name uncultured Bacteroidota bacterium. RNAcentral describes it as "bacterial SSU rRNA". It matches the Rfam family "Bacterial small subunit ribosomal RNA", at positions 107 to 579 of the family's 1533-position model. The record is from RNAcentral. Lineage: Bacteria; Pseudomonadati; Bacteroidota.
CGCGUAACACGUACGCAAUCUACCCAUUACAGGGGAAUAGCCCAGGGAAACUUGGAUUAAUACCCCAUAUUAUAUAGGAGUGGCAUCACUUUUAUAUCAAAGCUUCGGCGGUAAUGGAUGAGCGUGCGGUUGAUUAGAUAGUUGGCGGGGUAACGGCCCACCAAGUCUACGAUCAAUAGCUGAUGUGAGAGCAUGAUCAGCCACACGGGCACUGAGACACGGGCCCGACUCCUACGGGAGGCAGCAGUAAGGAAUAUUGGGCAAUGGACGCAAGUCUGACCCAGCCAUGCCGCGUGAAGGAUGAAGGUCCUCUGGAUUGUAAACUUCUUUUAUCUGGGGCGAAAACAACUCUUUCUAGAGUUCUUGACAGUACCAGAGGAAUAAGCACCGGCUAACUCCGUGCCAGCAGCCGCGGUAAUACUGAGGGUGCAAGCGUUAUCCGGAUUCACUGGGUUUAAAGGGUGCGUAGGCGGG